CGCAGGUGGAGAGUGAGCCUGGUGUGGAGUUAGCCACUUCUCCCCAGAGGAAGACGAGGAUGUGGAGGGUGAAAUCGGGCUCGCAGACACGAAUAUGACCAACGUGAUGCAGUGUGACUCUCAGGAUUAUGCAGUUAUAUAAGACUUGGUCUGUUUGAAAGAUUUGAAGAAGCCAGCUACUAUGAAGUCUACAUCUUUCCACAGCCUUGGUGUUGGAACCUAAUCCUCAACGUGGUGGUAGGUUUACCACCUGAAGCAGAGAACAGCCCUCACCAGAUACUGAACCAGCUGGUGCCUUAACAUUGGACUUCCAGCCUCCAGAACUGU
Molecule: long non-coding RNA, 327 nt
Organism: Pan troglodytes (chimpanzee)
Lineage: Eukaryota; Metazoa; Chordata; Mammalia; Primates; Hominidae
Exons: 3
Source: RefSeq, a predicted model, not a curated record